RNAcentral lists this ribosomal RNA (429 nucleotides) under uncultured bacterium. RNAcentral describes it as "partial 16S ribosomal RNA". It matches the Rfam family "Bacterial small subunit ribosomal RNA", at positions 28 to 526 of the family's 1533-position model. The record is from RNAcentral.
GACGAACGCUGGCGGCGUGCUUAACACAUGCAAGUCGAACGGAGUGGCGAACGGGUGAGUAACACGUGGGUGACCUGCCCUGCACUUCGGGAUAAGCCUGGGAAACUGGGUCUAAUACCGGAUAGUGUGGGAUGGGCCCGCUGCCUAUCAGCUUGUUGGUGGGGUAAUGGCCUACCAAGGCGGUGAGGGGUAGCCGGCCUGAGAGGGUGGACGGCCACAUGGGGACUGAGACACGGCCCAGACUCCUACGGGAGGCAGCAGUGGGGAAUAUUGCGCAAUGGGUGAAAGCCUGAUGCAGCCAUGCCGCGUGAAUGAAGAAGGCCUUCGGGUUGUAAAGUUCUUUUGGUAGUGAGGGUUAAUCGCGCGACAAAUUGACGUUAAAUACAGAAGAAGCACCGGCUAACUCCGUGCCAGCAGCCGCGGUAAUUC